This 765-nucleotide ribosomal RNA is filed under the name uncultured Streptococcus sp. Its description in RNAcentral is "bacterial SSU rRNA". It matches the Rfam family "Bacterial small subunit ribosomal RNA", at positions 28 to 776 of the family's 1533-position model. The record is from RNAcentral. Lineage: Bacteria; Bacillati; Bacillota; Bacilli; Lactobacillales; Streptococcaceae.
GACGAACGCUGGCGGCGUGCCUAAUACAUGCAAGUAGAACGCUGAAGAGAGGAGCUUGCUCUUCUUGGAUGAGUUGCGAACGGGUGAGUAACGCGUAGGUAACCUGCCUGGUAGCGGGGGAUAACUAUUGGAAACGAUAGCUAAUACCGCAUAAGAGUAGAUAUCGCAUGACAUUUGCUUAAAGGGUGCAAUUGCAUCACUACCAGAUGGACCUGCGUUGUAUUAGCUAGUUGGUGAGGUAACGGCUCACCAAGGCAACGAUACAUAGCCGACCUGAGAGGGUGAUCGGCCACACUGGGACUGAGACACGGCCCAGACUCCUACGGGAGGCAGCAGUAGGGAAUCUUCGGCAAUGGACGGAAGUCUGACCGAGCAACGCCGCGUGAGUGAAGAAGGUUUUCGGAUCGUAAAGCUCUGUUGUAAGAGAAGAACGAGUGUGAGAGUGGAAAGUUCACACUGUGACGGUAUCUUACCAGAAAGGGACGGCUAACUACGUGCCAGCAGCCGCGGUAAUACGUAGGUCCCGAGCGUUGUCCGGAUUUAUUGGGCGUAAAGCGAGCGCAGGCGGUUAGAUAAGUCUGAAGUUAAAGGCUGUGGCUUAACCAUAGUACGCUUUGGAAACUGUUUAACUUGAGUGCAAGAGGGGAGAGUGGAAUUCCAUGUGUAGCGGUGAAAUGCGUAGAUAUAUGGAGGAACACCGGUGGCGAAAGCGGCUCUCUGGCUUGUAACUGACGCUGAGGCUCGAAAGCGUGGGGAGCAAACAGG